AAUAAGUAAAAAAUAAUUAUCAAAUUAGAAAAUUCCCCUUCUUCUCCCUCUCACGGCCGCAACCACCCCCCUCCCACGAUAACUCUCUCUCCCUCCUCUACUUUCAUCACCUUCUCGUAAACCAGCCCACUGCGACUAAUUUACACCACUUCCAGUUCCUCUGGCCAUCGCUCAGUGUUCGUCAUCACUGCGCCGCCCUCCAACGAACGACCGACCGCGAGGAUCGUUCAGUUUCGACUUUUGUGUGCACCCGUCGUUGUUGAUCUCUCCAUCUCUAUCCAAUCUCUUCUCUUUCAGACUAGUCAUGUGGUUCUGUCUUACUGCACCCAAUCUCAGACCUAUCGUCAGUGUUUUAGGUAAGUUUUUGGUGUCUUGUAUGGGUUUUUUUUGGCAAAUCUUAAAUACCCACUGGUCCGCGCCAGGAUGCCCACCGAUCAGCCACCGUACAGCGCCCACCGGUUAGUCUCCCCCAUCGGAUCAGUGCCAAUCGCCCAGCCCAGCCUCGCACCAAAUCUGGUCAGUCCUCGCGCCAGAUUCGAUCAAUCCUCUACCAGAUCCGGUCAGUCCUCCACCGAAUUCGUCGUACAGUUGUGCUGCCCUUGUCAAGUAAGAGCUUCUUAUAGUUUUAUGAGUAUUCUUGUUCCUCUUUUGUUUUUCUUUUCAGGCAAGUUGGUCGAGGCUCAAGUGAAGCGCCGAUUUGAGCAAACACUUUGGACAAGUGUUUUGGAUGUAUUAGAAUGAUUUUGUGAUUUGGGUUAUAAUGUAGCAUCUUCUGUAAUGAUUUGCUUGUUUGAAUGUAUGAUGAUGAGAUUGCUUUUGAAGUAUUGGAAAGAGUUGAGUUGCUGUCAAUAGGUUUGAGACCGAUCUUGACAAGGUUUUGGUAAGUUUGGAGAUUUCAAGGGAUUGGAGCCACUAUCCAGAAAGUUAACGAUGUUUGGACAUUUUGAUAGAUAAGAUAAGUUGUGAAAGUUGUGAAAGUUGCGCAAAAGUGAAAGGUAAUUGUUCCACCGAGGCUAGAUAUGGUUAAAAGAGAAUGAAUAAAAUCUUAGUUGACUUGUUUAAACAUGGCUUGCUUGGCUCUUAGUUCUCAAUCUUUAAACUUCAAAGCUCAAUGUAUAGAUUAAAUAAUGUAAUUUGUUUAGAGGUUACUUAUUAAACAAUUUGUCACUUUUGUGUUUGUUGAAAGUUGAGUUUUAUAUACAAAAGCAAUAGUUGAGAUUUUAUUUUGUGCAUGUACAAGUGAAAGAGAAAUAUUGUUGUAAUUUGUGAGGAGUGUUCUAUGAAAGGUCAUAGUUGAAAAUAUGGAAUUUUUAGUGAAUAUAUUGAGUUGAUAGAUUUUAAAUA
Non-coding RNA from Benincasa hispida (wax gourd), 1344 nucleotides. The record is from RefSeq and is a predicted model, not a curated record. Lineage: Eukaryota; Viridiplantae; Streptophyta; Magnoliopsida; Cucurbitales; Cucurbitaceae.